GUCCCUGUAGCGUGAUAGAUAGCGUGUUGGACUUAGAAUCCAAAGGUCGUGGGUUCGAAUCCCAUCUGGGAUG
Molecule: non-coding RNA, 73 nt
Organism: Trichonephila clavipes
Lineage: Eukaryota; Metazoa; Arthropoda; Arachnida; Araneae; Nephilidae
Source: the annotation of a GenBank genome assembly